This 362-nucleotide long non-coding RNA is filed under the name Carica papaya (papaya). RNAcentral describes it as "long non-coding RNA (CPAP_LNC006299)". Lineage: Eukaryota; Viridiplantae; Streptophyta; Magnoliopsida; Brassicales; Caricaceae. The record is from RNAcentral.
CCGGAGACUCUAUGGGGUGUGUGUUGUUCGCCUUCUCCGGAAUAUUAUGGGGCUGCGAAUCUCUCUAUCUUUGUCGAACUCUUGAAAAUGUCAGGCCGCACUGAAAUAUAUCAACGUGUUAAAAGCGGGAUGCACGGCGAGUACAAAGAACCUCAUCAAUGGAGACUAUUAUUUUAAAAAAGUAAAUAAAUCACGUGCCCUUUUAUCAAAUAAAUAAAUAAAUAAAAUUACCUUUCCCUAUAUAGCGUUGAUUGUCCGCUCUGCUCCGGAGUUCAAAAUCUCAGUCCCAGCGGCGGUAAUCAUGUCCGUUUUACUUCUCCGCUUGUUGUUCGCCGUCACCGGCGUUUUCCACAUUGUCGGAG